Molecule: ribosomal RNA, 876 nt
Filed under: Triticum aestivum (bread wheat)
Lineage: Eukaryota; Viridiplantae; Streptophyta; Magnoliopsida; Poales; Poaceae
Description: partial small subunit ribosomal RNA
Source: RNAcentral
AUGGAAAAAAGCAGAGGAAGAGAUGCCCUACCUGCCAAUAGCUAUACAGAUCAACAAAUACUGUGCUGGAACUUGGGUACAAAACUAUGCAUGUGCCGAAUUUGCAAGGUGUCACGAGGAAAUUCAAAUCAUCAAGCAUUGCAAGUCAAGGAAUCAUCAACUUUACACGGUGCAGUAACUGCGAAGCAAAUUACGAAACAAAGACAACAAAAUGAAUUAGCAAGAACAGCCCGGAUCAAUAACACUGAAAAAAGCAAAGACAGUAAUUCCAGUGGUAGUAAGAUAUGGAACUUUGAAGGGGCAUCAGCUAUACAGAAUCAACAAAUAAUGGACUUGAGAUUUCAAAAUUUAUGUACUAGCCAAUAUUGCCAUGCGGUAAGGGCAAAUUCAAAUUAUCAACCAGCACAAGUCACAGAAUCAUCAGUUGUAGACAGUGCAAUGAUGGCUGAGCAGAUGAUGAAACGGAGACGCCAGGACGAAUUAACGAGAACAGCACGAAUGAAGAGGAAAGCACAAAUUCAACUCAACAAGAGCAGAAGGCAUGCUAGAACCAAUAACGGUGAAAUGGACAAGGAUGAUAAUUCUAAUGCCAGUAAGAUAUGGAACUUUGGGGGGCCAACAUACAUCUGCCAACACUGCCAUGCACUUAUGUGGUAUGCAGAAAGAAUACAAUCUUCCAGAACAAGACAACCAUCCUUUGCACAAUGCUGCAAACAAGGGAAGAUUAUCUUGCCACCAUUUAAAGAACCGCCGCCUUACCUUACAAGUUUAUUAACAAGGGGUGGAGGAAAAAUAUCAGCAAACUACCGAAAGAACAUUAGGUCUUACAAUUCCAUGUUUGCGUUCACAUCAAUGGGGGGGGGGGACUUUGGAUAA